This 679-nucleotide long non-coding RNA is filed under the name Homo sapiens (human). RNAcentral describes it as "non-protein coding lnc-TESK1-1:1". The record is from RNAcentral. Lineage: Eukaryota; Metazoa; Chordata; Mammalia; Primates; Hominidae.
UGUCUAUUUAAUCUUUCUCUCUUUUUCCCCCUUUAAUUUGGAUUAGCUCUUUUAAAAGACAAUUUUUUGGAUUUAUUUAUCCUUUUUAGUUUUUUUUUUUUUUUCUUUUUGAGACAGGGUGUGGCUCUGUUGCCCUGGCUGGAGUGCAGUGGUGCAAUCUCAGCUCACUGCAACCUCCACCUCCUGGGCUCAAUCUAACCUCCCAUCUCAGCCUCCCAAGUAGCUGGGACUACAGGCGUACACCACCAUGCCUGGCUAAUUUUUGUACUUUUUUUUUUUUUUCUUCAGAGAUGGGGUUUCACCAUGUUGCCCAGGCUGGUUUCGAACUCCUAAGCUCAAGUGAUUCUCCCGCCUUGGCUUCCCAAAGCGCUGGGAUUACAGGCAUGAGCCACUGUGCCUGGGCCUUCUUAGUAUUUUUGUUUUUUGUUUUUUUUUUUUCAUUUCAUUAGUGUUAGCUUUAGUUAUUAUUUUCUGAUUUGAUUUCUUUUCUUAUUCUUUUCAUAAUUUCUUGAAAUAAGUGCUCCCUUUAUUUUUCCUGUGCGUGUGUUGUUUAAAGCUUGCUAUCUUUUUGACAGUAUAAUAUAUGAUACAGGGUAAUUGAGAGAGUUUCUCAUGUUACGCUGUUUUCUCAUUUCACAUUUUUAUUUUGUGAACAUAGUAUUUUCAUUCUUUUUUUAAA